Long non-coding RNA from Cavia porcellus (domestic guinea pig), 1230 nucleotides. RefSeq lists it as uncharacterized. The transcript has 2 exons. NCBI's taxonomy places the organism in Eukaryota, Metazoa, Chordata, Mammalia, Rodentia, Caviidae. The record is from RefSeq and is a predicted model, not a curated record.
ACCGAUCAGAACAAAACAAAAUAAAUGCCCUUAAAAGGAAAGACGCAAUCAUUGGAGGAGCCAAAGCUCACCCAGGCAGCCUCCCUCCCGUCCCGCCCUGGCCCACAGCAGGGAGGAAAAGCUCUGUGCCUGCGAAGACACUGGGGUGGAUGUUUUUCCUCCUGAAGGAAAGCAUGGUUUGGGAGUCCCUCUCUCCCUGCCGGCCUCAUCUAGUGCUGGAUGACUGGAGAGUGCCCAUGGGUCUUGAACCACCGGACCAAUCGGCCUGGGCGGUUGGGAAGCCAGACUCGAAGGAAUCGCUGGGCUAAAGCCAGCCCUAAAGAAUUUUUUUAAAAAGACCGUAAUAUGUGUUUAUGGAAGAAUGAUGCAACUAUAUUUUAAGCAACCACCUAUCCUUCCGCCCUGAUUCUCAGAGCAUGCUUUGCACCACUCCACACUGACCUGCAAAGAACUUUAUGGUCCAUCACUUCACUCACAUUUAGCCAGAUUACAAACUGCUCUGGUAAACACUGCUGCCAAACUACCCAUUACAUUCCGCGGCUUACGUUCUGGAGAGAUCCCUGAAGACCUAGCAGUCAAAGGUGGCAAAGCAAAGGCAGCGGCUUCAGGGGCAGAAAUCAACCACAAAUUUAACCCUACCCUGGCCCAGGGCGCUAGCUCGGCCGCAGUGGAGAACAUAAUUUGGUUGCUUGUACAUCAAGACUGGCUGAUCUCAGAAGCUGUGGAGAAGCAGCUUAAGUUCUCAAAUGCAUUUGAAGUGUUUUCCUGAGAACAAGAUGAAAACAAAGAGACCCCAGAGUUCAGUGAGCAAAGGGCAGACUUUUACCUCAUUGCCAGGACUUUGCUGCUCAGAGGGGGUGAGAAAAGCAGGUGGCACAGUUCUUAGAACAAAUGAAAGGCAUCUGGAAUGCUGAAUACACCUGCCGAGGAGGGCAGACAGCAGACAGGUAAUGCAAGAGCCUUAACACCGCCCCAGGGGACGCUGUUUGGCAAAACUGUCACACAGUUUAAGAUGACAUGGUGUAACAGAGCCCUCUCUGUGUCCCCCCCCACACACACACACACCCGGUCCCUGAGCAUCUAUUAGCAACUGCCAGGCAGACACUGACAGGCCGCAGUACCCGCCUUCCCUCACCACGUCCCUCCCUUUUCGCCUGCAAUAUUGAAAAUGGCAUAAAACCAGAGAAGAUGGAAAAACUAAGUAAAAAUAAAAGAAAAAAUUACUCUGAA